GGGCAGGUGGCGGAACUGGCAGACGCAACGGACUUAAAAUCCGUCGGCCGCAAGGCCAUGCGGGUUCGAGUCCCGCCCUGCCCA
Molecule: transfer RNA, 84 nt
Filed under: Elusimicrobia bacterium RIFOXYA2_FULL_69_6
Lineage: Bacteria; Pseudomonadati; Elusimicrobiota
Also listed under: 1 other name
Description: tRNA-Leu
Rfam family: tRNA
About the family: Transfer RNA (tRNA) molecules are approximately 80 nucleotides in length. Their secondary structure includes four short double-helical elements and three loops (D, anti-codon, and T loops). Further hydrogen bonds mediate the characteristic L-shaped molecular structure. tRNAs have two regions of fundamental functional importance: the anti-codon, which is responsible for specific mRNA codon recognition, and the 3' end, to which the tRNAs corresponding amino acid is attached (by aminoacyl-tRNA synthetases). tRNAs cope with the degeneracy of the genetic code in two manners: having more than one tRNA (with a specific anti-codon) for a particular amino acid; and 'wobble' base-pairing, i.e. permitting non-standard base-pairing at the 3rd anti-codon position.
Source: RNAcentral